This 73-nucleotide transfer RNA is filed under the name Pelodiscus sinensis (Chinese soft-shelled turtle). It matches the Rfam family "tRNA". Rfam says of the family: Transfer RNA (tRNA) molecules are approximately 80 nucleotides in length. Their secondary structure includes four short double-helical elements and three loops (D, anti-codon, and T loops). Lineage: Eukaryota; Metazoa; Chordata; Testudines; Trionychidae. The record is from Rfam by way of RNAcentral.
GCCUGGCUAGCUCAGUUGGUAGAGCAUGAGACUCUUAACCUCAGGGUCAUGGGUUCAAGCCCCAUGCUGGGUA